AGGACAUGUGGACGGUAUGGGAGUGAGAAUGUUGGCAUGAGUAGCGAGAUGUGGGUGAGAAUCCCACAGGCCGUAAACCCAAGGUUUCCAGGGGAAGGUUCGUCCGCCCUGGGUUAGUCGGGACCUACGCUGAGGCCGAAAGGCGUAGGUGAUGGACAACAGGUUGAUAUUCCUGUACUACCGAUAACCGUUUGAGAGAAGGGAUGACACAGUAGGAUAAGCUAAGCACACUGUUGGUUAUGUGUGCCCAAGCAUUGAGGCAGUCAAAGUAGG
Molecule: ribosomal RNA, 273 nt
Filed under: Clostridioides difficile
Lineage: Bacteria; Bacillati; Bacillota; Clostridia; Peptostreptococcales; Peptostreptococcaceae
Description: partial 23S ribosomal RNA
Rfam family: Bacterial large subunit ribosomal RNA
Source: RNAcentral